RNAcentral lists this ribosomal RNA (457 nucleotides) under uncultured bacterium. RNAcentral's name for it is "SSU rRNA". It matches the Rfam family "Bacterial small subunit ribosomal RNA", at positions 26 to 518 of the family's 1533-position model. The record is from RNAcentral.
AGAACGAACGCUGGCGGCAUGCCUAACACAUGCAAGUCGAACGCUUGCCGGGCUUCGGUUCGGCAGGAGUGGCGCACGGGUGAGUAGCGCGUGGGAACCUGCCCUGUUGUGGGGGAUAACCGAGGGAAACUUCGGCUAAUACCGCAUACGCCGGGAAACCGGGAAAGAUUUAUCGCAGCAGGAGGGGCCCGCGUCGGAUUAGCUAGUUGGCGGGGUAACGGCCCACCAAGGCACCGAUCCGUAGCUGGUCUGAGAGGAUGAUCAGCCACACUGGGACUGAGACACGGCCCAGACUCCUACGGGAGGCAGCAGUGGGAAUAUUGGACAAUGGGCGCAAGCCUGAUCCAGCAAUGCCGCGUGAGUGAUGAAGGCCUUAGGGUUGUAAAGCUCUUUCGCCCGCGACGAUGAUGACGGUAGCGGGAGAAGAAGCCCCGGCUAACUUCGUGCCAGCAGCCGC